This 497-nucleotide ribosomal RNA is filed under the name uncultured bacterium. RNAcentral describes it as "partial 16S ribosomal RNA". It matches the Rfam family "Bacterial small subunit ribosomal RNA", at positions 28 to 507 of the family's 1533-position model. The record is from RNAcentral.
GAUGAACGCUGGCGGCGUGCCUAAUACAUGCAAGUAGAACGCUGAAGGAAGGAGCUUGCUCUUUCCGGAUGAGUUGCGAACGGGUGAGUAACGCGUAGGUAACCUGCCUGGUAGCGGGGGAUAACUAUUGGAAACGAUAGCUAAUACCGCAUAACAGUAGAUGUUGCAUGAUAUCUACUUAAAAGGUGCAAUUGCACCACUACCAGAUGGACCUGCGUUGUAUUAGCUAGUUGGUGAGGUAACGGCUCACCAAGGCGACGAUACAUAGCCGACCUGAGAGGGUGAUCGGCCACACUGGGACUGGGACACGGCCCAGACUCCUACGGGAGGCAGCAGGAGGGAAUCUUCGGCAAUGGACGGAAGUCUGACCGUGCAACGCCGCGUGAGUGAAGAAGGUUUUCGGAUCGUAAAGCUCUGUUGUAAGAGAAGAACGAGUGUGAGAGUGGAAAGUUCACACUGUGACGGUAUCUUACCAGAAAGGGACGGCUAACUACGUG